RNAcentral lists this long non-coding RNA (241 nucleotides) under Elaeis guineensis (African oil palm). RNAcentral describes it as "long non-coding RNA (EGUI_LNC003861)". The record is from RNAcentral. Lineage: Eukaryota; Viridiplantae; Streptophyta; Magnoliopsida; Arecales; Arecaceae.
UGUUGGGUAUAAAAUACCCGCGGCCGAAAUUCCCAUCAGAACGGCUCCGCCCGGACUCCUACGGGAGCCGGGCUCCACCUCCGACAUCAGAAAGGCUCAGCCCGGACUCCUACGGGAGCCGGGCUCUACCAACGACAUCAGCAAGUGCAGCUCCGCCCGGACUCCUACGGGAGCCGGGCUCCACCGACGGCAUCAGCAAGUGCAGCUCCGCCCGGACUCCUACGGGAGCCGGGCUCCACCG